RNAcentral lists this small nuclear RNA (163 nucleotides) under Moschus moschiferus (Siberian musk deer). RNAcentral's name for it is "U1 spliceosomal RNA (ENSMMSG00000013216.1)". It matches the Rfam family "U1 spliceosomal RNA". Rfam says of the family: U1 is a small nuclear RNA (snRNA) component of the spliceosome (involved in pre-mRNA splicing). Its 5' end forms complementary base pairs with the 5' splice junction, thus defining the 5' donor site of an intron. There are significant differences in sequence and secondary structure between metazoan and yeast U1 snRNAs, the latter being much longer (568 nucleotides as compared to 164 nucleotides in human). Lineage: Eukaryota; Metazoa; Chordata; Mammalia; Artiodactyla; Moschidae. The record is from RNAcentral.
AUACUUACCUGGCAGGGGAGAUACCGUGAUCACGAAGGGGGUUCUCUCAAGGUGAGGCUCAUCUGUUGCGCUGCGGGUGUGUUGACCUCUGCGAUGUCCCCAAAUGCGGGAAACUCGACUGCAUAAUUUGUGGUAGUCGGGAGCUGCAUGCGUGCUUUCCCCU